This 172-nucleotide non-coding RNA is filed under the name Ditylum brightwellii. Lineage: Eukaryota; Bacillariophyta; Thalassiosirophyceae; Lithodesmiales; Lithodesmiaceae. The record is from RNAcentral.
AAAAAAGAGCGUCUAUCAAAUCUCGAUAGGUAUAUAGCGCUUCAUUUAGAGAGAGUAGAGCGAGAGCAAAAGGGUGAACGACAUCAUCAAAGUUGGGUGACAAAGAGAGAGAGAGAGAGAGAGAGUAAAGAUGAAGACAGCCGUGUUUGUAGUAUUAUUAGCAAGUAUUGCA